GGCGGCCUGGCCCCGGGGGCCUCUGCCGUGUGGCACCGCGGCCCCUGUGCCCUAGGCUGAGUGCCCCGCGGCUCAUGCCCCUUUGCCUCUGGCCUGGCAGCUCCCCUCUAACGCAGAGAGACGUGUCCCCUGUGGCGGGCGGGGGGCGGCUGUUUGCAGGAGGUUCGGGGGAAGGCGGAAUACAAGUCAAAGACAAAGGAGAAGCUAAGGCCUCUAGCCAGGUAUCAUCAAAGUUGAUUGACAAUCACCAGUCAAGUGGCCACUCUUUGGCAAGGAAGGAGAGCAGGAACAGAUGGAUCUGCAUUUUAGCAAGCAACAGCAUGGAACCUCUUUCACCAUGAGACUGUGGGAUGGAACUUUAUCUUGGGGAAACACUCAGGAAAACAGGGCUUUGAAGCUGUGCUCUGGCUCUGCUCCAGCUCCAGGCAAAAACCUGCAGCUUCACUGCUCCGCGCUCCGCUCCAAAGCCCUGCAAGAAAAUGCUUUUCAAAGGAUGACUGGACUACAAAACGGAGGGGCAAAAACACCCCAGCAUCUCUUUCUCUUGCUCCCUUUCACCUAAGAAGACAAAAGAACCAGCCCAGCCGUUUGACUUUGGGGGUGUUCCUGAUCUGAGAAUCUGGUUAGCAAUGUUGCUUGGAACCUGUAAUAAGGAUUUUACCUUGAACCAAGUCUAGUUUGGUAAGUUUUAGCUAAUAUAAAGUGUUUUAACUUUAUUUCUCUUGUAACCAUUUCUGAUUUUAAUACCUUAUUCUUGUACUCACUGAAAAUCACUUUUUGUAGUUAAACAAACUUGUUUUAUUUUUUAAUCAAAAUAAAUCCAGUGUUGUGUUGUAUAUUGACCCCUUAUGGGAGCAACAGACUUCUAAUAUCUGAACAGUCUAGGAGAGGGCGGGACAGUGCAGAGCACAUGCUUUUCGGGAAAAUUCAGUAGCUGGGCGUGUGUGGAGGUCAUCCUACAGGUAGUAACCCAGGCUGCUGGAAGCCAGAAUGUGGUUGGUAUGUUGCUGAUACUGGAGUCCACAUUGCUGAACCAGGGCUGUGGCUAUACCACGAUACUCAGGGUGUGACCUGCAUGCUGUUUAUGAAUAGCCCAGGUUGGGUGCCACAACAGCAAAGCACUGUGAGGCACCCAACAUUGCAGGGAAGGUGGUGAUGCAAUCUCUCACUGGUCUAGACUGCACCCCAGCAUGUUACAGGCCAACUCCUAUUUAGAUGCCUGAAUAACUGCUGAAAAAUUGGCACCUAUCUGGGAACUGUACUCUUUGAAACACGCCUCUGUAUUUUCAGACAGCAGGGAGGGACUGUGGUACCUUAGGUACAAAAACAAGUGUGUGUAAUCUGGGACAAUAUCUUCUUGUGUAACUUCCAGAUUGCUUGUCUAUCUUCUUUCUUUUUUUGCCCUUAGAACUUGUGGUAUUUAAACUGCAUUUACCACUGUGAUGUUUGACCACCUUAUUUUAAAAGAUUUUUUCAGGGCUUUGGAGCUGUGCUCCGGCUCCACUCCAACUCCAGGCUAAAACCUGCAGCUCCACUGCUCUGGAGCUGCUCUACGCCCCAGCUCCGGGCUCCACUCCAAAGCCCUGGAUUUUUUCUUCCUUUUUUCUCUCUAUCCACUGAUAGUGGGGAAUUUUUUUUAAGCAGUGGAAAAGUUAGCUCAGAGAAAUAGAUUUUACAUUUCGGUUUGAAAUGUAUUUUCUAGUUCUUACUCCAGUUCCUAUUUUAAUCUUCCAGUGUCAACCUCUCUUUGGCCUUAUUUGCAUGUAAAGAGCUUGUCUACAUGAGGAGUUGCACAAGUUUAAAAGCCGAGCUACAUACAGCCUUGCCGUGGAAUAACAAAAUAUGUGAAUUAAAAAUAUUUUAGUUA
This is a long non-coding RNA of Gopherus flavomarginatus (Mexican gopher tortoise), 1867 nucleotides long. RefSeq lists it as uncharacterized. The transcript is spliced from 2 exons. The record is from RefSeq and is a predicted model, not a curated record. Lineage: Eukaryota; Metazoa; Chordata; Testudines; Testudinidae.